Molecule: ribosomal RNA, 390 nt
Filed under: uncultured bacterium
Lineage: Bacteria
Description: bacterial SSU rRNA
Rfam family: Bacterial small subunit ribosomal RNA
Source: RNAcentral
CGGGUUGUAAAGCUCUGUCCAUUGUGAAGAACAAGUAGCGCACGAAUAGGGCCGUAUAGUGACGGUAUCAAAGAAGAAAGCCCCGGCUAACUCCGUGCCAGCAGCCGCGGUAAUACGUAGGGGGCAAGCGUUGUCCGGAAUUAUUGGGCGUAAAGCGCGCGCAGGCGGUCUUUUAAGUCUGAUGUGAAAGCCCGGGGCUCAACCGUGGAAGGUCAUUGGAAACUGGGGGACUUGAGUAUGGGAGAGGGAAGUGGAAUUCCUGGUGUAGCGGUGAAAUUCGUAGAUAUCAGGAGGAACACCGGUGGCGAAGGCGACUUCCUGGACCAAWACUGACGCUGAGGCGCGAAAGCGUGGGGAGCAAACAGGAUUAGAUACCCUGGUAGUCCACGC